UGAAAAAGAGACAAGCACUUCUGAAGAUGACCUUCUCACAGCCUAAAAGUGCUCCCACAGAGCUGGAGUUUGAAGGAGUCGUAGAGGAGCUGAGGAAAGACAAGAAGAUGUACCAGAAAACAGCAAUGCUCUAUCUCAGCCCUUCCAGACGUUUCUUCAGACUCUGCUCCUGCGGGAGACUUUCACUGUCGACCUUCUCAAAGGCCUCUACAUCCUGGAGUCGAAAGCUGGUUUUCUAAGCAUCAGAGAGGUCAUCCACACCCUCACCAUCGGCUACCGAAAACCAAGCCCUUUUGUUUGUUCUGCACUCGUUCAUCCCUUCAGCUCGGACGUUAUUCCCUCAGACUCAGAAAUGUGUGUUACCGUAUCCAACAAUCAGACCCAUAAAGAUGUACAAGGAAAGUUACGGGUCGGCAGCAAGGAGAGACUGACUUUCUUUGGACAAGUUCGGCUGAACUCUCUGCACUCUUGUCACCAUAUGAUUCAAGUCAGAGGAAACUACACCCAUCAG
Labrus bergylta (ballan wrasse) is the source of this 511-nucleotide non-coding RNA. The record is from RefSeq and is a predicted model, not a curated record. NCBI's taxonomy places the organism in Eukaryota, Metazoa, Chordata, Actinopteri, Labriformes, Labridae.